This 225-nucleotide ribosomal RNA is filed under the name uncultured bacterium. RNAcentral's name for it is "partial 16S ribosomal RNA". It matches the Rfam family "Bacterial small subunit ribosomal RNA", at positions 109 to 334 of the family's 1533-position model. The record is from RNAcentral.
CGGAACACGUACGCAACCUUCCUUUAACUGGAGAAUAGCCCCUCGAAAGAGGGAUUAAUACUCCGUAACAUGAUGAUAAGGCAUCUUAUUAUUAUUAUAGCUCCGGCGGUUAAAGAUGGGCGUGCGCCUGAUUAGGUAGUUGGCGGGGUAAUGGCCCACCAAGCCUGCGAUCAGUCACUGGUGUGAGAGCACGACCAGUCACACGGGCACUGAGACACGGGCCCG